Molecule: long non-coding RNA, 309 nt
Organism: Boleophthalmus pectinirostris (great blue-spotted mudskipper)
Lineage: Eukaryota; Metazoa; Chordata; Actinopteri; Gobiiformes; Gobiidae
Exons: 3
Source: RefSeq, a predicted model, not a curated record
UUGGUCUGGUCUGGUUUGGUCUCCAUGGAAACAACCAGAAAAGUUCCAGAGUGCAGCUUUAAGGUGAAGAUCUGACCUGUAAAUAACAUCUCCAUGGAAACAAGCAGGGGGAAGCUGUCUACCAGAAAAGUUCCAGAGUGCAGCUUUAAGAUGAAGCAGCGUCUCCAGCGUCUCUGUACGUGGCCCCUCCCACCAGAGCAGCACAAAUGAAGACUUGUCUCUUUCCAAACGCUCUUAAAGGACGAUCGUUUUGACUGUUGACCGUGACACCCUCAUCAGAAAAAUGUCCAACAUGAGAAAAGUGGAGCC